UACAGAGGGGGCAAGCGUUAUUCGGAAUUAUUGGGCGUAAAGGGCGCGUAGGCGGCGAUUCAAGUGACGGGUGAAAUCCCUCGGCUUAACCGAGGAACUGCCUGUCAGACUGGGUUGCUUGAGACCGGGAGAGGCGAGUGGAAUUCCCAGUGUAGCGGUGAAAUGCGUAGAUAUUCGCAAGAACACCAGUGGCGAAGGCGGCUCACUGGCCCGGUACUGACGCUGAGGUGCGAAAGCGUGGGGAGCAAACAGG
RNAcentral lists this ribosomal RNA (253 nucleotides) under uncultured bacterium. Its description in RNAcentral is "partial 16S ribosomal RNA". It matches the Rfam family "Bacterial small subunit ribosomal RNA", at positions 524 to 776 of the family's 1533-position model. The record is from RNAcentral.